Non-coding RNA from Dipodomys ordii (Ord's kangaroo rat), 70 nucleotides. Lineage: Eukaryota; Metazoa; Chordata; Mammalia; Rodentia; Heteromyidae. The record is from Rfam.
GGGAAUGUGGCUUAGUGGUAGAGUGCUUGCCUAGCAUGCAUGAAGCCCUGAGUUCAAUUCCUCAGUACCA